AUACGUAGGUGGCAAGCGUUAUCCGGAUUUAUUGGGCGUAAAGGGAACGCAGGCGGUUCUUUAAGUCUGAUGUGAAAGCCUUCGGCUUAACCGAAGAUGUGCAUUGGAAACUGGGGAACUUGAGUGCAGAAGAGGAGAGUGGAACUCCAUGUGUAGCGGUGAAAUGCGUAGAUAUAUGGAAGAACACCAGUGGCGAAAGCGGCUCUCUGGUCUGUAACUGACGCUGAGGUUCGAAAGCGUGGGUAGCGAACAGGAUUAGAUACCCUGGUAGUCCACGCCGUAAACGAUGAAUGCUAGGUGUUGGAGGGUUUCCGCCCUUCAGUGCCGCAGCUAACGCACUAAGCAUUCCGCCUGGGGAGUACGACCGCAAGGUUGAA
Molecule: ribosomal RNA, 377 nt
Filed under: uncultured bacterium
Lineage: Bacteria
Description: bacterial SSU rRNA
Rfam family: Bacterial small subunit ribosomal RNA
Source: RNAcentral